This 279-nucleotide ribosomal RNA is filed under the name uncultured bacterium. Its description in RNAcentral is "partial 16S ribosomal RNA". It matches the Rfam family "Bacterial small subunit ribosomal RNA", at positions 506 to 784 of the family's 1533-position model. The record is from RNAcentral.
UGCCAGCAGCCGCGGUAAUACGUAAGUCGCAAGCGUUAUCCGGAAUCACUGGGCUUAAAGGGUGCGUAGGCGGCCAUGAAGGUCUGAUGUGAAAUCCCACGGCUCAACCGUGGAAUUGCGUUGGAAACCACAUGGCUUGAGGGAGACAGAGGUAAGCGGAACUGAUGGUGGAGCGGUGAAAUGUGUUGAUAUCAUCAGGAACACCGGUGGCGAAAGCGGCUUACUGGGGCACAACUGACGCUGAGGCACGAAAGCUAAGGAAGCGAACGGGAUUAGAUA